RNAcentral lists this ribosomal RNA (301 nucleotides) under uncultured bacterium. Its description in RNAcentral is "partial 16S ribosomal RNA". It matches the Rfam family "Bacterial small subunit ribosomal RNA", at positions 509 to 808 of the family's 1533-position model. The record is from RNAcentral.
CAGUCGCCGCGGGAAUACGGAGGGAGCUAGCGUUGUUCGGAAUUACUGGGCGUAAAGCGCGCGUAGGCGGUUACUCAAGUCAGAGGUGAAAGCCCGGGGCUCAACCCCGGAACUGCCUUUGAAACUAGGUGACUAGAAUCUUGGAGAGGUCAGUGGAAUUCCGAGUGUAGAGGUGAAAUUCGUAGAUAUUCGGAAGAACACCAGUGGCGAAGGCGACUGACUGGACAAGUAUUGACGCUGAGGUGCGAAAGCGUGGGGAGCAAACAGGAUUAGAUACCCCCGUUAGUCCCUGUCUCUUAUA